Molecule: unclassified non-coding RNA, 479 nt
Filed under: Camarosporium sp. OTU_009
Lineage: Eukaryota; Fungi; Ascomycota; Dothideomycetes; Pleosporales
Description: sequence contains ITS1, 5.8S rRNA gene and ITS2
Rfam family: 5.8S ribosomal RNA (bases 169-322)
Source: RNAcentral
CGGAAGUGUCCCCGGGCGGUAGAGGUAACACUCUCACGCGGCCACAUGCCUUCAUCCUUUUUUUACGAGCACCUUUCGUUCUCCUUCGGUGGGGCAACCUGCCGUUGGAACCUAUCAAAACCUUUUUUUGCAUUUAGCAUUACCUGUUCUGAUACAAACAAUCGUUACAACUUUCAACAAUGGAUCUCUUGGCUCUGGCAUCGAUGAAGAACGCAGCGAAAUGCGAUAAGUAGUGUGAAUUGCAGAAUUCAGUGAAUCAUCGAAUCUUUGAACGCACAUUGCGCCCCUUGGUAUUCCAUGGGGCAUGCCUGUUCGAGCGUCAUCUACACCCUCAAGCUCUGCUUGGUGUUGGGCGUCUGUCCCGCCUCUGCGCGCGGACUCGCCCCAAAUUCAUUGGCAGCGGUCCUUGCCUCCUCUCGCGCAGCACAUUGCGCUUCUCGAGGUGCGCGGGCCGCGUCCACGAAGCAACAUUACCGUCU